Molecule: ribosomal RNA, 210 nt
Filed under: uncultured prokaryote
Description: partial 16S ribosomal RNA
Rfam family: Bacterial small subunit ribosomal RNA
Source: RNAcentral
ACGUAGGGUGCAAGCGUUAAUCGGAAUUACUGGGCGUAAAGCGUGCGCAGGCGGUUAUUUAAGACAGAUGUGAAAUCCCCGGGCUCAACCUGGGAACUGCCUUUGUGACUGCAUAACUUGAGUGCUGCAGAGGGGGAUGGAAUUCCACGUGUAGCAGUGAAAUGCGUAGAUAUGUGGAGGAACACCGAUGGCGAAGGCAAUCCCCUGGGC